RNAcentral lists this ribosomal RNA (253 nucleotides) under uncultured bacterium. RNAcentral describes it as "partial 16S ribosomal RNA". It matches the Rfam family "Bacterial small subunit ribosomal RNA", at positions 524 to 776 of the family's 1533-position model. The record is from RNAcentral.
UACGGGGGGAGCAAGCGUUGUUCGGAUUUACUGGGCGUAAAGGGCGCGUAGGCGGUAGCACAAGUCAGUUGUGAAAUCUCCGGGCUUAACUCGGAAAGGUCAACUGAUACUGUGCGACUAGAGUGCAGAAGGGGCAACUGGAAUUCUCGGUGUAGCGGUGAAAUGCGUAGAUAUCGAGAGGAACACCUGCGGCGAAGGCGGGUUGCUGGGCUGACACUGACGCUGAGGCGCGAAAGCCAGGGGGGCGAACGGG